AAACUCACCAGAUAAGACAGCUGAAUGAUAGUCGGGCUGAAGACUCUACUUGACUAGCUGAGAGGAGGUGCAUGGCCGUCGUCAGUUCGUACUGUGAAGCAUCCUGUUAAGUCAGGCAACGAGCGAGACCCACGCCAACAGUUGCCAGCUCGUCCUCCGGGAUGGUGGGGACACUGUUGGGACCGCCUCUGCUAAAGAGGAGGAAGGAAUGGGCAACGGUAGGUCAGCAUGCCCCGAAUUAUCUGGGCUACACGCGGGCUACAAUGGGUGGGACAAUGGGUAUCGACACCGAAAGGUGAAGGCAAUCUCCUAAACCCAUCCGUAGUUCGGAUUGAGGGCUGCAACUCGCCCUCAUGAAGCUGGAAUCCGUAGUAAUCGCGUUUCAACAGAACGCGGUGAAUACGUCCCUGCUCCUU
This 416-nucleotide ribosomal RNA is filed under the name uncultured Methanomicrobiales archaeon. RNAcentral's name for it is "bacterial SSU rRNA". It matches the Rfam family "Archaeal small subunit ribosomal RNA", at positions 922 to 1338 of the family's 1478-position model. The record is from RNAcentral. Lineage: Archaea; Methanobacteriati; Methanobacteriota; Methanomicrobia; Methanomicrobiales.